GCUGGUGCUUCCAAACGUUUUCUCUUGUUUUGAAAGCUCAGAGAACCAGAGAAGACAAAAGGAGCAUGGUGUUUCCUACAGGCACGGCUGUCCACAAGCAGCCCACCCAGGUGGUGACAGUCAUCAGGACCAUUGAAAACUCUGGCCAAUGGAGCACCGACCUCUGUGAUUGCUGCUCUGAUAUGGAGAGCUGUUGCUGUGGCCUUUGCUGUUUCCCCUGCAUGCAGUGUGAUGCAGCCAAUAAACAUGGAUGGUGCUGUGCAGUGCCACUCCUGGACGUUUGUGGUGUGGUGUCCUGCUUACUCCGUCAGUCUAUCAGAGAGCGCCACAACAUCUAUGGCUCGUUCACUGAUGACUGCUGUAAGGUGUGCUUUUGUUACCCGUGUGUUUGGUGCCAGAUGCAUCGUGAGCUGAAGCUCAGGCAAUACCAUUAGCCCGCCACCUCGACUGUGAUCAGCACGCAAGUCGUCUGUGGAUAUGAUGCAAACGUUUUGGCUGUGUGAUGAGGGCUUAUGUCACUGCUGAACCAAAGUGCUUUAAAUCUGUUGUCAUAUAAUAUGUUGAACGCCUAUGUGACUUUUUCAGGCCAAUAAAAUCCUGUAAUUCUAUGCAA
Non-coding RNA from Maylandia zebra (zebra mbuna), 613 nucleotides. NCBI's taxonomy places the organism in Eukaryota, Metazoa, Chordata, Actinopteri, Cichliformes, Cichlidae. The record is from RefSeq and is a predicted model, not a curated record.